Molecule: ribosomal RNA, 465 nt
Filed under: uncultured bacterium
Lineage: Bacteria
Description: partial 16S ribosomal RNA
Rfam family: Bacterial small subunit ribosomal RNA
Source: RNAcentral
GACGAACGCUGGCGGCGUGCUUAACACAUGCAAGUCGAACGGAAAGGCCCCCUUGUGGGGUACUCGAGUGGCGAACGGGUGAGUAACACGUGAGUAACCUACCCUUGACUUUGGGAUAACUUCAGGAAACUGGGGCUAAUACCGGAUAGGAGCUCCUGCUGCAUGGUGGGGGUUGGAAAGUUUCGGCGGUUGGGGAUGGACUCGCGGCUUAUCAGCUUGUUGGUGGGGUAGUGGCUCACCAAGGCUUUGACGGGUAGCCGGCCUGAGAGGGUGACCGGCCACAUUGGGACUGAGAUACGGCCCAGACUACUACGGGAGGCAGCAGUGGGGAAUAUUGCACAAUGGGCGGAAGCCUGAUGCAGCAACGCCGCGUGCGGGAUGACGGCCUUCGGGUUGUAAACCGCUUUCGCCUGUGACGAAGCGUGAGUGACGGUAAUGGGUAAAGAAGCACCGGCUAACUACGUG